GUAAUGCCUACAGCAGACGCAACCCUGAAGCAGUAUCACAUAACGGAAGUGUAUCUUUCAAAAAUAUUUUAUUUUCUGGGGAACACAAAUGGAGUCUGUCCUUUAGGAAGAGAAGUCUUAGGAUUAUUCCAUGACAGCCUCCUAAGUGGUCAGCUGUAUGAAGAUGAAGCUGUAUAUGUCCUUCCCAGUCACCAGCUAUCAGAAAUACACUGAAAAACACAUCAAAGUGGGUGAUGAAUGCCAAACUGUACUUUCUAUGAGAAACAUGAGGCCACAGGAGUAGCUGCUGAUGCUCUGGUGAAGAGUGGAAGGGUUGAUUAUGUGGUCUGAAUCAGUGGUGGGAACGGCACCCAAGGCUUUCCCAUGAAGCAAGGUAUCUUGGCUCAUGUCAGAGUGCACCUGAUUCUCGUUAUUGACCAAGGAGAGCUGGAGAGAGGAAGCACAAGUUUGUUUGGCGUUGUGGAUGUCAAUCUGAGUUCUCAGUUUGGGGAGAAGGAUAUUCCUAGACUGACAGAUACUUCAGCAGUUGGGGCCCAAAUGGGCCAGCAGAAUCCCAAAGCUGUUCCAUCUGUCUAAAGAAGAUGAUGCCUGUCUUCUUUAGGUAAGUUGUCGGAAAGUCCUUAAACACAGAAGGUAAGCCCGGAACCAAAGCACCGGAGUUCAGAGUCUUGUCGUUCCACUUGUCCUGCAAUGCCAAAAUACUGCUCUGAAGAAACAACCCAUUAAGAAAAACAAGGAGGUUGCAAAAUAUCCUAAACUUCUGGCCAAGAGAAGGAAGGAAGCCAAAGAAAAAUGCCAAGAACAGAUUGCCAAGAGAUGUAGGCUAUCUUCACUGAGAGCUUCUAUUUCUGAGUCCCAGUCAAAGGGACAGGAUCUCAUUAUAUAACCCCGGAUGGCCCAGAAUCCACUAUGUAAAACCAGGUUGGCUUUGAACUCACAGAAAUGUGCCUCCGUCUGCCUGUUGAGUGCUGGGAUUAAAGGCAUGCACCACCA
Cricetulus griseus (Chinese hamster) is the source of this 993-nucleotide non-coding RNA. The record is from RefSeq and is a predicted model, not a curated record. Lineage: Eukaryota; Metazoa; Chordata; Mammalia; Rodentia; Cricetidae.